CCUACGGGAGGCUGCAGUGGGGAAUAUUGGACAAUGGGCGAAAGCCUGAUCCAGCAAUGCCGCGUGAGUGAUGAAGGCCUUAGGGUUGUAAAGCUCUUUUACCAGGGAUGAUAAUGACAGUACCUGGAGAAUAAGCUCCGGCUAACUCCGUGCCAGCAGCCGCGGUAAUACGGAGGGAGCUAGCGUUGUUCGGAAUUACUGGGCGUAAAGAGUACGUAGGCGGUGAUUCAAGUCAGAGGUGAAAGCCUGGAGCUCAACUCCAGAACUGCCUUUGAAACUAGAUCGCUAGAAUUGUGGAGAGGUUAGUGGAAUUCCGAGUGUAGAGGUGAAAUUCGUAGAUAUUCGGAAGAACACCAGUGGCGAAGGCGACUAACUGGACACAUAUUGACGCUGAGGUACGAAAGCGUGGGGAGCAAACAGGAUUAGAUACCCAAGUAGUC
This 440-nucleotide ribosomal RNA is filed under the name uncultured bacterium. Its description in RNAcentral is "bacterial SSU rRNA". It matches the Rfam family "Bacterial small subunit ribosomal RNA", at positions 338 to 795 of the family's 1533-position model. The record is from RNAcentral.